Molecule: microRNA precursor, 88 nt
Filed under: Astyanax mexicanus (Mexican tetra)
Lineage: Eukaryota; Metazoa; Chordata; Actinopteri; Characiformes; Acestrorhamphidae
Description: mir-204 microRNA precursor family
Rfam family: mir-204 microRNA precursor family
Source: Rfam by way of RNAcentral
AUGUGACCUGUGGACUUCCCUUUGUCAUCCUAUGCCUGGGGUCAUAGAGGGGGCUGGGAAGGCAAAGGGACGUCCAGUCGUCAUCAGC